This 22-nucleotide microRNA is filed under the name Mus musculus (house mouse). RNAcentral's name for it is "mmu-miR-3474". Lineage: Eukaryota; Metazoa; Chordata; Mammalia; Rodentia; Muridae. The record is from miRBase by way of RNAcentral.
CCCUGGGAGGAGACGUGGAUUC